Molecule: ribosomal RNA, 512 nt
Filed under: uncultured bacterium
Lineage: Bacteria
Description: bacterial SSU rRNA
Rfam family: Bacterial small subunit ribosomal RNA
Source: RNAcentral
UAGUCCACGCCCUAAACGAUGUCAACUAGACGUUGGGCUUAUUAAUAAGCUUAGUGUCGAAGCUAACGCGUUAAGUUGACCGCCUGGGGAGUACGGCCGCAAGGUUGAAACUCAAAUGAAUUGACGGGGGCCCGCACAAGCGGUGGAGCAUGUGGUUUAAUUCGAUGCAACGCGAAGAACCUUACCAGGUCUUGACAUCCUCGGAACUUGGCAGAGAUGCCUUGGUGCCUUCGGGAGCCGAGUGACAGGUGCUGCAUGGCCGUCGUCAGCUCGUGUCGUGAGAUGUUGAGUUAAGUCCCGUAACGAGCGCAACCCUUGUCCUUAGUUGCCAGCACGUCAUGGUGGGAACUCUAGGGAGACUGCCGGUGACAAACCGGAGGAAGGUGGGGACGACGUCAGGUCAUCAUGGCCCUUACGACCUGGGCUACACACGUGCUACAAUGGCUGGUACAGAGGGUUGCGAAGUCGCGAGGCGAAGCUAAUCCCUUAAAGCCAGUCGUAGUCCGGAUCGG